RNAcentral lists this long non-coding RNA (449 nucleotides) under Mus spicilegus (steppe mouse). RNAcentral's name for it is "lncRNA (ENSMSIG00000024647.1)". Lineage: Eukaryota; Metazoa; Chordata; Mammalia; Rodentia; Muridae. The record is from RNAcentral.
UUUCAAAGAUACUACAAGAAAGUCAACUUUUGUUAAGCUAUCUGGAACAAGCAACCAAGAUCUCUCAAAAAGCGGUCCUGUUCAGAUGGCAAAAGAGAAGCUUUGUGGACUUCUUAAAGCUACAUACUUCGGAAGGAAAGCUGAAUGCUGUAGAGGUACUUACAGAUUAGAGAUAAGAAGCAAGAAUAAUGAAAUUUCUUUGCCCUAAAUAUGUUCCCUAAAAUUUGUCUAAAGUCCUAUAAAUCACUGAACUUCUCUCUAAACCAAAUGUAUAGUCACCUUUAUUUCAGUUUUGUUUUUUGUUUUUUUUCCAGCUGUAGGGGAUCAACUAUGGCCAGGUCUCAAGAGAAAAGAUCUGACAUGUGAGUGCUUGAGGUGUCCUUCAAAAUGAAAGUAAAAGGUAAUAUAAGUAUUUUUCAAUAAGAAAGAUGCUAGUAAUUUUUUCUUUU